This 57-nucleotide unclassified non-coding RNA is filed under the name Sorangium cellulosum So ce56. RNAcentral describes it as "sce_snoPyro_CD_11". The record is from RNAcentral. Lineage: Bacteria; Pseudomonadati; Myxococcota; Polyangiales; Polyangiaceae.
CGGCCAGGUUCAGACAUCGACCAGCAACAUCGAUCUUUCUUAAAUUGGCAGUCUCCC